GACGGAGGGGGCUAGCGUUGUUCGGAAUUACUGGGCGUAAAGCGUGCGUAGGCGGCCUUUCAAGUUGGGUGUGAAAGCCCGGGGCUUAACCCCGGAAAUGCGCCCAAGACUGUUUGGCUAGAGACCGGGAGAGGUGAGUGGAACUCCGAGUGUAGAGGUGAAAUUCGUAGAUAUUCGGAAGAACACCAGUGGCGAAGGCGGCUCACUGGACCGGUACUGACGCUGAGGCACGAAAGCGUGGGGAGCAAACAGG
RNAcentral lists this ribosomal RNA (253 nucleotides) under uncultured bacterium. RNAcentral describes it as "partial 16S ribosomal RNA". It matches the Rfam family "Bacterial small subunit ribosomal RNA", at positions 524 to 776 of the family's 1533-position model. The record is from RNAcentral.